RNAcentral lists this ribosomal RNA (324 nucleotides) under uncultured bacterium. RNAcentral's name for it is "bacterial SSU rRNA". It matches the Rfam family "Bacterial small subunit ribosomal RNA", at positions 28 to 334 of the family's 1533-position model. The record is from RNAcentral.
GACGAACGCUGGCGGCGUGCCUAACACAUGCAAGUCGAACGAAGCGCUUUGGAUGGAUCCUUCGGGUGACAGAAGGAGUGACUUAGUGGCGGACGGGUGAGUAACGCGUGGGUAACCUGCCUCACACAGGGGGAUAACAGUUAGAAAUGACUGCUAAUACCGCAUAUGCACACAGUACCGCAUGGUACAGGGUGGAAAGAUCUGUCGGUGUGGGAUGGACCCGCGUUGGAUUAGCUAGUUGGCAGGGUAACGGCCUACCAAGGCGACGAUCCAUAGCCGGCCUGAGAGGGUGGACGGCCACAUUGGGACUGAGACACGGCCCAA